This 329-nucleotide ribosomal RNA is filed under the name uncultured eukaryote. Its description in RNAcentral is "partial 18S ribosomal RNA". It matches the Rfam family "Eukaryotic small subunit ribosomal RNA", at positions 1470 to 1796 of the family's 1831-position model. The record is from RNAcentral.
CCCUUAGAUGUUCUGGGCCGCACGCGCACUACACUGUUUGAUUCAGCGAGUCUUAACCUUGACCGAAAGGUUUGGGUAAUCUUCUAAAGUCAAACGUGAUGGGGAUCGAUCAUUGCAAUUAUUGAUCGUGAACGAGGAAUUCCUAGUAAAUGCAAGUCAUCAGCUUGCGUUGAUUACGUCCCUGCCCUUUGUACACACCGCCCGUCGCUACUACCGAUUGAAUGGUUUAGUGAGAUCUCCGGAUUGGCUCUGUAGGUCCCGCAAGGGAUUUAUUAGUAGCCAAGAAGCUGCUCAAACUUGAUCAUUUAGAGGAAGUAAAAGUCGUAACA